AUGGAUUUGAAAUCAUACACUGUUCAGCAGAAAAAGCACUGUCACUGCAGCAGCUUGGAUCACUUGUGCAUUCCGUCCUGGCCUGGGAACUUCUGCCUGCUAUGGGUGCAGCCAAAAAAGAAAGAGAAAAGGAAGAGUUUUCUUUGCAGAAUCACUGUGGUGGCUAGGACCCUGUACACAUAUCCUGAAAACUGCAGGUCCUUCAAAGCCCUCAUUGCCGCUCAGUACAGUGGGGCUCAGGUCCAUGUACUCUCCGAACCAUCCCACUUACAUUUUGGCCAAACCAACCACACCCCCGAAUUGCUCCGUAAAUUUCCUGCCGGUAAGGUUCCAGCAUUUGAGGGUGAUGAUGGAUUCUGUGUGUUCGAGAGCAAUCCCAUUGCCUGCUGUGUGAGCAACAAGGAGCUGUGGGAAAGUACUCCCAAGGCAGCAGCCCAGGUUGUGCAGUGGGUGAGCUUUGCCACUAGCAACAUCGUGCCCCCGGGCCAGUACCUGGGUGUUCCCACCUUGGGCAUCAUGCACUACAACAAGCAGGCCACAGAGAAUGCAAAGGAUGAGGUGAGGUGAGUUCUGGGGCUGCUGGAUGCUCACUUGACGACAGGGACUUUUCUGGUGGGCGAAUGUGUGACACUGGCCAACAUCACAGUUGUCUGCACCCUAUCGUGGCUCUACAAACAGGUCCUGGAGUUUUCUUUCCACCAGGCCUUCUGCAAUACCAACCGCUGGUUCCUCACCUGCGUUAACCAGCCCUAGUUCCGGGCUGUCUUGGAGGAGGUGAAGCUCUGUGAGAAGAUGGCCCAAUUUGAUGCUAAAAAGUUUGCAGAGAAUCAGCCUAAAAAGGACACCCCAUGGAAAGAGAAAGGUUUGGGAGGAGAAAAGCAGAAACCCCAGGCUGAGCAGAAAGAGGAGAAAAAGGCAAUUGCUCCCACUCCUGAGGAGGAGAUGGACGAGUGUGAGCAGCAGCUGGCUUCUGAGCCCAAGGCCAAGGAUCCCUUUGCCCACCUGUGCAAGAGCACCUUUGUGUUGGACAAAUUUAAGCGCAAGUACUGCAAUGAGGACAUACUCUCUGUGACACUGCUGUACUCCUGGGAGCACUUUGAUAAGGAUGGCUGGUCCUUGUGAUACUCCAGGUACUGCUUCUCUGAAGAGCUCAACCAGACCUUCAUGAGCUGCAACCUUAUCACUAGAAUGUUCCAGCAAUUGGACAAGCUGAGGAAGAAUGUUUUUGCCACUGUCAUUCUCUUUGGAACCAACAACAGCAGCUCCAUUUCUGGAGUCUGGGUCUUCCAAGGCCAGGAGCUUGCCUUUCCGCUGAGUCCAGAUUGGCAGGUGGACUAUGAGUCAUACACAUGGUGGAAACUGGAUCCUGGCAGCGAGAAGACCCAGACGCUGGUUCAAGAAUACUUUUCCUGGGAGGGGGCCUGCCAGCAUGUGCAUGAAGCCUUCAAUCAGGGUAAGAUCUUCACGAGAACAUCUCUUGCCAUCACCUAGCUGCCUGCACCUGCC
Phacochoerus africanus (Common warthog) is the source of this 1506-nucleotide RNA transcript. It is a transcript of the gene named elongation factor 1-gamma-like, with no coding region annotated. The record is from RefSeq and is a predicted model, not a curated record. The transcript is spliced from 2 exons. Lineage: Eukaryota; Metazoa; Chordata; Mammalia; Artiodactyla; Suidae.